Molecule: long non-coding RNA, 1597 nt
Filed under: Eptatretus burgeri (inshore hagfish)
Lineage: Eukaryota; Metazoa; Chordata; Myxini; Myxiniformes; Myxinidae
Description: lncRNA (ENSEBUG00000017314.1)
Source: RNAcentral
CUGUCUCAAGAUCACAAAUAAUACAUUUUGUACAUUCAUAUUAUGAAUGUACAUGCAAUGAAGGCACAAAAAUUAUGCAUUCAACAGACAUUCAGCAAACAGAGAAAUACAAAACCACAAACACACUUUUUCGAUUUGCCAGGUGAAUUCUACGACAUGUUUGUUACGUUAUGGGAUUCUACAUAUGAAUUUCGACUAAUACUUCACCAACAGUAAUUUAUAUGGAUGCACCAAUCUCUUCUCUUUAUAUCCAUGCAUUGUAUAAUAAUUGGAAUGAACCAGUUCAAAAGAUACAAUCGACUAAAGCAACCCACCAUGGAUCACAUUCUCCCAUUGAUGGAAAAAAACUUUAUUUGACCCCCACCAUACAAAUGGGCCUGUUGAAAAAAUGCUACACCACAAUUUGAAGUGACACCCACCAUAAAACUGCUCAGGAGAGGUUGCCCGAACACAAUAUGCAUUCAGACCUUGUAUGUGGUGUGGGUUGAGCAAGACCUUAUUUUAAGGCCGAUAUGGGAAAUAGCUCCUUGACUAUUUCAUCGAUUACCUGUUCCAUCCAUACAUUUCCUUCUGUGGCCUUUUCUGAACAAGUUAUCAAACUAAUGAAGAUAUCAAUGUAUUUAAUCUUUAAUAUUUCUGUUGUUUGUUUUUUAUCCAAAGACUCCUCAGAAGAGGUGCUCCUUCCUGCUCACCUGAAACCAUCCCACCGGUUGGAACGUAAGUUGCCAAGAUUCUUGUCUUUCAUUACAAAUUAUUCCAAACUUUGUCUGAACUACAUGUUCUUCACGUGCAUCAUGUCCCAUUUUGUCUGUGCCUCAGAAGUGUUGAGGACAAAUAUAUAUUUUGCUGAACUCAAAUCCAGAGAAGCAGCAAACAAAUCUUCCAGAAGUUUCAGUGACGGCGACUGGAGAAGAUGUGAUGUUUGGCAGUGGAUCCAUCAUCACUCCGUCGUACAAGCUCCAGGAAUGAAAGAUGAAACAUCAGACUCUUACAUACGGCUGAUCCAAGAUUUAAAAACAUAAACAUCAGUCUCUAGAAGUACAGCAUCCUUCAGCUGAGACCCAGUGUACGAGUUGUACUUCGAUGAACCAGUGUACGAGUUGUACCUCGAAGACCCAGUGUACUCGUUGUACCUCGAUGAACCAGUGUACGAGUUGUACCUCGAAGACCCAGUGUACUCGUUGUACCUCGAUGAACCAGUGUACGAGUUGUACCUCGAUGACCCAGUGUACGGGGGGGGGGGGGGGGGGGGGGGGGGGGGGGGGGGGGGGGGGGGGGGGGGGGGGGGGGGGGGGGGGGGGGGGGGGGGGGGGGGGGGGAACCGAAAUCUCUUCUCCUUUCAAAUCAUAUAAUGUUCAAGUCAAAGGAAUGGUGUCGAAAAUAUUGUUAUGAAAAUGGCUCCGAGGGGAUUACAAAACCUGUAAAAAUUUCAAAAGUUUGUACAUUUGUUUGUUGUUCUUUCAUCCACGAACUGAAGCACCCAGAGACCCCGAAUUUUAGGUGUACUCACGUGAGAAUCUCGGCAAGGUUGUAAAUGAACGUAUUUUGACCUGAAAGGUCGUUUCGGCUCCUCACCUUCUUUGGGAAUGGGGGGGGU